UACGUAGGGGGCGAGCGUUGUCCGGAGUUACUGGGCGUAAAGGGCGUGCAGGCGGUGCGGUAAGUUUAGCGUGACAGUCUCCGGCUUAACUGGAGAAGGCCGCUGAAAACUGCUGGACUUGAGGGCCAGAGAGGGACAUAGAAUUCCGGGUGGAGUGGUGAAAUGCGUAGAUAUCCGGAGGAAUACCAAAGGCGAAGGCAGUGUCCUGGCUGGCAACUGACGCUGAGGCGCGAAAGCUAGGGGAGCGAACAGG
RNAcentral lists this ribosomal RNA (253 nucleotides) under uncultured bacterium. RNAcentral's name for it is "partial 16S ribosomal RNA". It matches the Rfam family "Bacterial small subunit ribosomal RNA", at positions 524 to 776 of the family's 1533-position model. RNAcentral also lists the same sequence under 1 other name. The record is from RNAcentral.